UACGUAGGGUGCAAGCGUUGCCCGGAUUUAUUGGGCGUAAAGGGCGCGUAGGCGGCUCUGCACGUUCGUUGUGAAAUCGCCCGGCUCAACUGGGCGGGGUCAGCGGAUACGGCAGAGCUUGAGCAAGCUAGGGGGCAAUGGAAUUCCCGGUGUAGUGGUGGAAUGCGUAGAUAUCGGGAGGAACACCAGUGGCGAAGGCGACUCACUGGCCCGGUACUGACGCUGAGGUGCGAAAGCGUGGGGAGCAAACAGG
Molecule: ribosomal RNA, 253 nt
Filed under: uncultured bacterium
Lineage: Bacteria
Description: partial 16S ribosomal RNA
Rfam family: Bacterial small subunit ribosomal RNA
Source: RNAcentral